This 88-nucleotide small nucleolar RNA is filed under the name Rhizoctonia solani AG-1 IB. Lineage: Eukaryota; Fungi; Basidiomycota; Agaricomycetes; Cantharellales; Ceratobasidiaceae. The record is from RNAcentral.
CUCUUGUGAUGAAUCCAACUCUCAGUUCUGCUUCCGAAAGGUGGCCACACCUUGUGGAAACCCAAUACCAAUGACUCUCAUCUGAUUU